GGGCCGGUAGCUCAGCUGGUAGAGCAUCUCCUUUACACGGAGGGGGUCGUAGGUUCAAGUCCUAUCCGGCCCACCA
This 76-nucleotide transfer RNA is filed under the name Candidatus Elusimicrobium euhamitermitis. RNAcentral's name for it is "tRNA-Val". It matches the Rfam family "tRNA". Rfam says of the family: Transfer RNA (tRNA) molecules are approximately 80 nucleotides in length. Their secondary structure includes four short double-helical elements and three loops (D, anti-codon, and T loops). Further hydrogen bonds mediate the characteristic L-shaped molecular structure. tRNAs have two regions of fundamental functional importance: the anti-codon, which is responsible for specific mRNA codon recognition, and the 3' end, to which the tRNAs corresponding amino acid is attached (by aminoacyl-tRNA synthetases). tRNAs cope with the degeneracy of the genetic code in two manners: having more than one tRNA (with a specific anti-codon) for a particular amino acid; and 'wobble' base-pairing, i.e. permitting non-standard base-pairing at the 3rd anti-codon position. Lineage: Bacteria; Pseudomonadati; Elusimicrobiota; Elusimicrobia; Elusimicrobiales; Elusimicrobiaceae. The record is from RNAcentral.